CGGAUCCUCGUGACCGUACUGCUAGUCGUAGCAACACAAACAAACAUGGUAUGGACAAAAUUAGCAUCACACCACAGGUACGAACAAAAUGUAUAACAAUGAUCUACGUGAAGCUACGAGAUCGCGGGACGGGAACCACUAAAAUCAGAGUUACGGUUAAGGAGUUAUGAUUUUAUAGAAGAUUUAUGUGAUUAAAAUAUUCAAGUAUAUUAUAAAUUGGUUAGUAUAAAUCAUAUGAGAGGUUAUUCUAUAAAUACUUAUCUCAACUUCAUUCUAAGUCAUUAUUUGAUUAAAGAUCAUUUAGUCAAAUUAUAAUCAUAAAAUCAUAGGUUAAUCCAAUAGACAUAGGUUAAUCCAAUUAUAAAAGUACGGGAUAUCAUAUAAUAAAUGCUGCCAUUGUGUAAUAUAUAUUUAUACGAAGAUAACGCAACUGGAACGAGUCAAAUCGGAUUUAAAACGGGGAAAGUAUAAGUUUCUGAAGGUUUUAUGUAUUUGAUACAAGAUUAAUUAGGAAAUAAAUUUUAAAUUGGCUUUCAUGUCAAAACAGUGGUACUAAAUAAUAAACAAUAAUAUUAUAGAAUUAUAGGAACUGGAAUGAACUAAUUUGAACUUAAUAUGAAUUUUCUAGGAAUUAUACAAGUUCUAGCAAUUAAUUUGGUAUUAAAAAUCAUUUUCUAACUUUAGUUUCCCUGUUUUAUUAACUGUUUGGACUGCGCGCCAAAUACCAGAAAAACCAGGGGCUACGGAGCAAGAAUCCCUAAGACUCAUUACCCUGUCGCAAGGGACGGAGGAUUACUACUAACAAAAUAAAGGGGCCCUUCUGUAAACUGGCUUCGAUGAAGGGGUACCGUGGGUCUCCAGCCGCUGGAUCUACAUUCCUCGGUGGAGAUUAGAUCGAGUCUCACCAAACCGGUAUACAAUCCUACUCAUCCGAUGAAAACCCAAUGGCCAGGAUUUUAUUUCGAGCGGAUGAACGCCGACCGCCCGAUCGUGGAUAGAGGAACCAGAUCAAAACGCCGAAACGUUAUUGCGCAUCUAAUUGCAGCCGUCCACAUCCAAUCGCACGGUCAGGCGCUCUUCUACCUGCUGGCUAAGCACGGCGGCGCCCAUAGCCCGUGCGGUGGCUCCUAGUUCAGACGGUGGAGAGAUGGCUGGGGUUCGUCAUCUCCGUGCACAAGCACCCAGGCGCCGAUUCCCUAGCGCUACACGUAAAGCGGAAAAAGGAGACCUCGAUUGAUGGCUCGUUACCGGAUUUCACAGUGUGGAGGUCCCUGGCCACGACGGUGUGCGGCAACACGGUGGAGUGACGGCGCCAGCAAACACCCCCAGGUGCUCCAGCGACGACCCGCGACCCUCGAACCGGCAUAACAAACGUGGAGCACGCCAUGAAUACGAUAGGGAAAUAGGCGUACCGUGGGGAUGAGGAGGUCGACGCCGAUGAUGUCACUGCGCCAUCGGACGCGGGCGGGACACGAUCCGCGCAGUUGAACAGACAAUCACCGGGGUUCCUCUACGCACGUAGGCCACCAACGGCUUGUUGCCCAUGGAUUGUCCUCAACCACCCCUCGGCACAAGAACGCUGCGACACGGUGACGGCGGCGGUCAUGGAAUACCUCUCCCCCUCUCACACUGGCGUUGGUCUGCUACACGAUUCUUGGGUGGUUGCAAGCAGAGAGAGAGGCGGCGCUCUAGGCCCUAUAUAGCCCCGAGCGAGCCGGAUCCCGGAAGCCGAUGACAAAGACCCGCUCGGUUCGGCCCGGACGCUACGGACGCCUUCUGUUUU
Molecule: long non-coding RNA, 1783 nt
Filed under: Zea mays
Lineage: Eukaryota; Viridiplantae; Streptophyta; Magnoliopsida; Poales; Poaceae
Description: long non-coding RNA (ZMAY_LNC005429)
Source: RNAcentral